This 66-nucleotide transfer RNA is filed under the name Ibla cumingi. Its description in RNAcentral is "tRNA-Tyr". It matches the Rfam family "tRNA". From Rfam's summary of the family: Transfer RNA (tRNA) molecules are approximately 80 nucleotides in length. The record is from RNAcentral. Lineage: Eukaryota; Metazoa; Arthropoda; Thecostraca; Iblomorpha; Iblidae.
UAAGAGGUGGCUGAGUUUUAGGCGUUAGAUUGUAAAUCUAAGAACGAGAGAGUCUCUCCCUUUUAA